CCCCUAGAUGUUCUGGGCCGCACGCGCGCUACACUGAACAGUUCAACAAGUCUUAACCUUGGCCGAUAGGUCUGGGUAAUCUUUGAACGCUGUUCGUGAUUGGGAUAGACCUUUGCAAUUAUGGGUCUUCAACGAGGAAUUCCUAGUAAACGCAAGUCAUCAGCUUGCAUUGAUUACGUCCCUGCCCUUUGUACACACCGCCCGUCGCACCUACCGAUUGAAUGGUCCGGUGAAUCUUUCGGACUGCGCGCGGCCUCGUGCCGUGUCGCGGAAAGUCAGGUAAACCUUAUCACUUAGAGGAAGGAGAAGUCGUAACA
Molecule: ribosomal RNA, 317 nt
Filed under: uncultured eukaryote
Lineage: Eukaryota
Description: partial 18S ribosomal RNA
Rfam family: Eukaryotic small subunit ribosomal RNA
Source: RNAcentral